This is a long non-coding RNA of Gadus morhua (Atlantic cod), 1015 nucleotides long. RefSeq lists it as uncharacterized. NCBI's taxonomy places the organism in Eukaryota, Metazoa, Chordata, Actinopteri, Gadiformes, Gadidae. The transcript is spliced from 2 exons. The record is from RefSeq and is a predicted model, not a curated record.
UAUGGUGGCCGAAAUAAUCCAUUACAACCUCAUAGCUCUCUGUUAUAUAAUAAGUAAUACUAGUUGAUUUGAAGACUUUUCUAUAUAUAAGUAUGGAAUCAAUCUCAGUAGUGAUUGUUACUUUCCUCUCUAUAAAAAGUGGAUGUGGUGCCAAACAUAGACAUAGCCUAUGUACAUGGCCUCAUGGCCCGUCCCCACCAACCCGUGGCCUCGAGUGUGGCACUCGCUUCCCAUUGAAUUUGUUCUGGACACGUUAUCGUGUUGAGCAAGGGAUUGUGGGUGCUCGCCAUUUUGUAGAGGUGUUCGAAUUCUCAGUGGUUAAUUUCAUUCACUUUAUAGUGAACAAUGAAGUACCCCAAAUUUGAGUGAACAGUGUCAGCAUGGGGUUCAGCAAAUAACCUCCAACUAAACACAUCAAAAACUAAGGAAAUCAUCAUAGACUUCAGACGACACAGCCCAGCCCAUGCCCCCCUGCACAUCAACGGGGAUUGCGUGGAGAGGGUUCUAUCCUGCAAGUUCCUGGGAACAUGCAUCUCUCAGGAGCUUUCUUGGUCCACGAACACAACAGCAAUAAAAAAGAAGGCAGAGGAGCGACUACACUUUCUGAGAAUUCUCAGAAAAAAACAUCUUUGACAAAAGCUGCUGGUGUCCUUCUACCGGUCAACCAUUGAAAGUGUGCUCACUUACUGCAUCACAGCAUGGUAUGCUGGGAUUUUUGCGGCAGACAGCACGGCACUUCAGAGGGUCAUAGGCACAGCUCAGAAGAUCACAGGCUGCCCACUGCCCUCCCUGGAAGAGCUGGCCAGCUUCCGCUGCCGAAACAGGACCAGAUCCAUUCUAAAAGACGCUGCGCACCCUGCUCACCAUCUGUUCGAUCUGCUUCCCUCUGGCAGGCGAUACAGGUCAAUGAAAUCACGCACCACCAGACUAACCAACAGCUUCUUCCCCUGGGCCAUAUGUACACUAAACAAACAAAAAACCCUGUGCAAUACAUAAAUAACCACAUGAACAAUCA